UGUGCAAUCGCAAAGCGUCAACACUGAACUGAACACUCGAAGAAAUUGAACGCACUCACAACCUUCCUUUCAUGAAAUGGAACGCACGAGAAACAUUUAUUUAACUUAAAUAUAAUAAUCAUAAUGAUAAUCAUUAUCAUAAU
Molecule: long non-coding RNA, 143 nt
Organism: Abrus precatorius (Indian licorice)
Lineage: Eukaryota; Viridiplantae; Streptophyta; Magnoliopsida; Fabales; Fabaceae
Exons: 3
Source: RefSeq, a predicted model, not a curated record